This 820-nucleotide unclassified non-coding RNA is filed under the name Hevea brasiliensis (rubber tree). The record is from RNAcentral. Lineage: Eukaryota; Viridiplantae; Streptophyta; Magnoliopsida; Malpighiales; Euphorbiaceae.
UGACUUCAAAUGCAUGUAUUGUCAGACAUUAUUGUGAUGAUUGCUAUCUGAUUGUCACUACCUCUGAGGCAAAGUAAUCACUUGAAUUUGGAUUUUGUAAUUGGCUGUCCUUAUUGNGAUGUGGCAUUUGCUUGGCAUUUUCUUUUUGGGUGGUUAGGAUUUAUCCGAUCUUUCUAAUAUUUGGCUCUCUGUUAAUCUACGAACCGGACUAUAUAUACUGCAAGAUGAUUUUCACUUUGCCUAUGAUGGGUUUUAGAUACUUAAUCUGAGGUACUACGUAUCUUUUCUGAGAUGACAAUGCAAUAUGCUUUCCUUGCCGGAUGAUUGACGUUUUGAUAAAUAUUGAUUUAAAUCAGGAAGUAUUUGCUUUUUCAUAUGGUAGCUCUGCAUGAUCAGCGUGGCUUGGCAAAUGAACAUUGAUGAUUACUCGUUCUUUCUUUAGGGAAAGUAUAUAUAUCUGUGAGCGCGCGCGUUGGUGAAUUUUAAAAUUAAAAAGAAAUUCAAAAUGGAAAAAUGAGUGACUCGUUGGCUAUGGCUAUGCACUUUCCUUUUAAAAUCUCAUCUGUGUUGGAGGACUGGAAGCCACAGUGGGAUAUAACUCAUAAUCAUUCGUCGUCCAAUGAGUCAAAGGCCUCUGUGAAAUUUACUGCGAUGAUAAAGUCCGAGUGAAGAUCGGUAGACAUAGAACGGUCUGGCUCUGUUGAGGAUGGCGCUAAGGGAGUGCGUUAGUGUAUUGAAAGGGUUGCAAGAUUGCUAAAAUGAUGAAUGGGGAAUUGAGAUAGGGAAGAGAUUUGAGAUAUGGAAUGCAGAAAGUAGUUUC